UUUUUUUCUCACUUUAUCGAAGAAAAAAACCUUUCCGAGAGUAUCUUCAAUUCCAAAUCUGCAAUUAAUCUCCAAAUCCACUCAACGCGAUGGCUUUCUUUAAGAUUGUUAAUGGGUAAAUAAGUAAAAGUUCUAAUAAGGUUAAUCUCCGCAAUUUUAAUCUCCGCAAUUUUAAUCUCCGCAAUCUCCGCAAUUUUAAAUGGAGAAGGCACUUUAAAUAAGCAAAAUAAAUCACAAUCUUAAAGAAACCAAGACCUCAUAUUCUCCAAUUAAUCAAGAGAGAAGAACUUUGGUUUCUUUACAAACCACGGUUAAUUGAAUCUCUUGUUAUUAUGGACAUCGUAUAUAGAAUGAAUAUGAAUCAGUAAAAAGUUUUCUGAAUGAAUAUAUUUAAAUGGACUCGUUAUUAUGGACACCAAAAAAUUGUUUGUUGAUUUUGUUACAGUUUGCAGAGACCUCCACCUCCAAGACCUUAUGGACAUAGAACUUUUACCAAAUUCCUGAGAUAAUCGAGAUCGAAUUGUUUAAAAAAAUUCGC
This 538-nucleotide small RNA is filed under the name Arabidopsis thaliana (thale cress). Its description in RNAcentral is "ATSL131590". Lineage: Eukaryota; Viridiplantae; Streptophyta; Magnoliopsida; Brassicales; Brassicaceae. The record is from RNAcentral.